This 377-nucleotide ribosomal RNA is filed under the name uncultured eukaryote. Its description in RNAcentral is "partial 18S ribosomal RNA". It matches the Rfam family "Eukaryotic small subunit ribosomal RNA", at positions 592 to 976 of the family's 1831-position model. The record is from RNAcentral.
CAAUAGCGUAUAUUAAAGUUGUUGCAGUUAAAAAGCUCGUGGUUGGAUUUCGGGGCAGCCUGGCUGGUCCGCCGCAAGGCGAGUACUGGUCAGCCGCCCUUCCUCUCGAAAGCCCCGACUGCUCUUUAUUGCAGUGGUCGGGUAGUUCGGGACGUUUACUUUGAAAAAAUUAGAGUGUUCAAGGCAGGCCUACGCCUGAAUACAUUAGCAUGGAAUAAUGGAAGAGGACCUCGGUCCUAUUUUGUUGGUUUCCAGGACCGAAGUAAUGAUUAAGAGGGACAGUUGGGGGCAUUCGUAUUUAAUUGUCAGAGGUGAAAUUCUCGGAUUUAUGAAAGACGAACAACUGCGAAAGCAUUUGCCAAGGAUGUUUUCAUUAA